CCGAGACCUUUAGCCCCCUGUGUGAGAGAAAAAGAAAAUUCUUGGAGCCUCACUCAGCGAUGUUCAGGGGUGACUCCCAGCUCAGUACUCUGUGGGUGGCUGAGUGGCUCCCAGCUGCACUUGAGGGACUGUCUACAGACCUAGGACUCGAACCCAGGCCUCUUGCCUGCAAAGCCUGUGCUCCAGCCCUUUCAGCCGCCUGCCGGGCUCCACGCGAAUCUUCCUCAGCUUGUGGUCCUGCUUCCCCUCCCCACCAGCCCUGCCUGGGGGCCCCCACUCUCCACGUCCUCACCCCUUUUGGCUUGAGGAGUUCCCCCGAUGGCUACCGAUGCUCGGUACGGGCCAGCUGCCUGCUGACCAGGCCCUCACGGCGCGUCUGCCUGGCCCACUCCGCCUGCGCAGGCCACCUCGGGCUGUCUCUCCCUCUGGCCCCUCACGCUGGACCUUUGCCAUAUCAGCACCGUAAGGGACACUUGGGACACUGUGGCUGUGGACGGUGACGGAGACAAGAGGAAUGGAGCCUCACUGGAGUGGCACGGGAUUAAAAUUUGAUCUU
This is a long non-coding RNA of Sorex fumeus (smoky shrew), 556 nucleotides long. RefSeq lists it as uncharacterized. The transcript is spliced from 3 exons. NCBI's taxonomy places the organism in Eukaryota, Metazoa, Chordata, Mammalia, Eulipotyphla, Soricidae. The record is from RefSeq and is a predicted model, not a curated record.